Molecule: ribosomal RNA, 320 nt
Filed under: uncultured eukaryote
Lineage: Eukaryota
Description: partial 18S ribosomal RNA
Rfam family: Eukaryotic small subunit ribosomal RNA
Source: RNAcentral
CCCUUAGAUGUUCUGGGCCGCACGCGUGCUACACUGAGUGGAUCAGCGGGUCAGGUUGCGCGAAAGUGUUUCCUAAUCUUUAAAUCCGCUCGUGAUGGGGAUUGACGGUUGCAAUUUUCCGUCAUGAACGAGGAAUACCUUGUAAGCGCGGGUCAUCAUCCCGCGCUGAAUACGUCCCUGCCCUUUGUACACACCGCCCGUCGCUCCUACCGAUUGAGUGGUCCGGUGAAGUCUCGAGAUUGUGGCAAUCUCCUUUAUUGGAGUUUGACUGCGAGAACUUGCCUAAACCUUAUCACUUAGAGGAAGGUGAAGUCGUAACA